GACGAACGCUGGCGGCGUGCUUAACACAUGCAAGUCGAACGGAAAGGCCCUGCUUUUGUGGGGUGCUCGAGUGGCGAACGGGUGAGUAACACGUGAGUAACCUGCCCUUGACUUUGGGAUAACUUCAGGAAACUGGGGCUAAUACCGGAUAGGAGCUCCUGCUGCAUGGUGGGGGUUGGAAGGUUUCGGCGGUUGGGGAUGGACUCGCGGCUUAUCAGCUUGUUGGUGGGGUAGUGGCUUACCAAGGCUUUGACGGGUAGCCGGCCUGAGAGGGUGACCGGCCACAUUGGGACUGAGAUACGGCCCAGACUCCUACGGGAGGCAGCAGUGGGGAAUAUUGCACAAUGGGCGGAAGCCUGAUGCAGCAACGCCGCGCGCGGGAUGACGGCCUUCGGGUUGUAAACCGCUUUCGCCUGUGACGAAGCGUGAGUGACGGUAAUGGGUAAAGAAGCACCGGCUAACUACGUG
This 468-nucleotide ribosomal RNA is filed under the name uncultured bacterium. Its description in RNAcentral is "partial 16S ribosomal RNA". It matches the Rfam family "Bacterial small subunit ribosomal RNA", at positions 28 to 507 of the family's 1533-position model. The record is from RNAcentral.